AUCUCUAUUUUAUUGAAACGUCUCAAUGAAUCUAGUGUUACGCCAAAGGGAAUUCAGAAUAUUAAACAGAUUUUUGGGACCGGGAGGGUGCCCGGAGCUUGCUCCGCCCCCUCCGCGGGUCGACUGCGCAUUGCAGUGUCGUGAAGUCUGGCCCAGCAAGC
Harpegnathos saltator (Jerdon's jumping ant) is the source of this 161-nucleotide small nuclear RNA. RefSeq annotates it as U2 spliceosomal RNA. The transcript has a single exon. NCBI's taxonomy places the organism in Eukaryota, Metazoa, Arthropoda, Insecta, Hymenoptera, Formicidae. The record is from RefSeq and is a predicted model, not a curated record.